GUUCAAGUUUGUAAUGGAGGAUACACUUAUUGCCUGGCUUGUCAAAUGAUUUUGUAAAAGAAGUUCCACAACUUUGAUUUUGGAUAAAGCAAAAACUCAAAAUAAGGAGAAGAAAAACAUUGGGUACACAAUUGCACAUUUCUGCAUGAUGUUAUUUUAAUAUGUGAGAUGGUAUCUGAGAACCAUAUAAAAAAAAAUAGUCAGCUAUAAAAGGCC
This 216-nucleotide long non-coding RNA is filed under the name Mytilus galloprovincialis (Mediterranean mussel). The record is from RNAcentral. Lineage: Eukaryota; Metazoa; Mollusca; Bivalvia; Mytilida; Mytilidae.